UUUCCAAUCGGUUUGUUUGCUGCCUCUUCAGCCGGUUUAUUUUCAGUCCCUCCGGUCGGUUUAUCUGCUGGUUUAUCUGUUGGUCCUCCAGCAGGGUUAUCUUUUGGUUUAUCUGCUGGUCCUCCAGCUGGUUUAUUUCCUGGCUUAUCUGUUGGUCCACCAACGGGUUUAUCUUUUGGUUUAUUUGAUACCUCUCCAGCUGGUUUACUUUCUGGCUUAGUUGUUGGUCCACCAGCAGGUUUAUCUUUUGGUUUAUUUGAUGCCUCUCCAGCCGGUUUACUUUCUCGCUUAUCUGUUGGUCCUCCAGCGGGUUUAUCUUUUCGUUUAUUUGAUGCCUCUCUAGAUGGUUUACUUUCUGGCUUAUCUGUUGGUUCACCAGCGGGUUUAUCUUUUGGUUUAUUUGAUGCCUCUUCAGCCGGUUUAUUUUCUGGCUUAUCUGUUGGUCCUCCAGCGGGUUUAUCUGCUGGCUUACUUCCUGGCUUAUCCGUCGGUCCUCCAGCGGGUUUAUCUUUUGGUUUAUUUACUGGUCCUCCAGCUGGUUUACUUUCUGG
RNAcentral lists this long non-coding RNA (551 nucleotides) under Brassica napus (rape). RNAcentral's name for it is "long non-coding RNA (BNAP_LNC023799)". The record is from RNAcentral. Lineage: Eukaryota; Viridiplantae; Streptophyta; Magnoliopsida; Brassicales; Brassicaceae.